UGGUGGAGCGAUUUGUCUGGUCAAUUCCGAUAACGAACGAGACUCUAGCCUACUAAAUAGUUCGGGGACCCCCACAAAGGGGCCCCGCUUCAACUUCUUGGAGGGACAGGUGGCGUUUAGCCACACGAGAUUGAGCAAUAACA
This 143-nucleotide ribosomal RNA is filed under the name uncultured eukaryote. RNAcentral's name for it is "partial 18S ribosomal RNA". It matches the Rfam family "Eukaryotic small subunit ribosomal RNA", at positions 1299 to 1458 of the family's 1831-position model. The record is from RNAcentral.